GACGAACGCUGGCGGCGUGCCUAACACAUGCAAGUCGAACGAAGCACUUUAACAGAACCUUCGGGUGAAGAUAUUGUGACUGAGUGGCGGACGGGUGAGUAACGCGUGGGUAACCUGCCCUGUACAGGGGGAUAACAGUUAGAAAUGACUGCUAAUACCGCAUAAGCGCACGAUGGUAGCAUUACCAGGUGUGAAAAACUCCGGUGGUACAGGAUGGGCCCGCGUCUGAUUAGCUUGUUGGCGGGGUAAGAGCCCACCAAGGCGACGAUCAGUAGCCGGUCUGAGAGGAUGAACGGCCACAUUGGAACUGAGACACGGUCCAA
This 323-nucleotide ribosomal RNA is filed under the name uncultured bacterium. Its description in RNAcentral is "bacterial SSU rRNA". It matches the Rfam family "Bacterial small subunit ribosomal RNA", at positions 28 to 334 of the family's 1533-position model. The record is from RNAcentral.